Molecule: small nuclear RNA, 71 nt
Organism: Macaca nemestrina (pig-tailed macaque)
Lineage: Eukaryota; Metazoa; Chordata; Mammalia; Primates; Cercopithecidae
Source: Ensembl
GUGCUCGCUUCAGCAGCGCAUAUCCUAAAAUUUGGAACGAUACAGAGAAGAUUAGCAUGGUCCCCGGGUAA